CAGGAUUCCAUUAGUAACGGCGAGUGAACAUGGAUUAGCCCAGCACCGAAGCCUAUUGGCGUCUGUCAACAAGGCAAUGUGGUGUUUAGGUGUCUGCCUGGGGUGGUCAGUCUAUCCGAAGUCCAGCAUAGAUUAUGGCUCUGGAAUCGGUCCAUAGCGGGUGAAAGACCCGUACGGAUAGACAUUUGGCUUGUUGACCGCCCUCAGAUGCAUUCACCUUGGAGUCGGAUAGCUUGAGAAUGCUGUCCUAAGUGGGUGGUAAACUCCAUCCAAGGCUAAAUACUGGCACGAACCCGAUAGCUAACAAGUACCGUGAGGGAAAGUUGAAAAGCACUCUGAAGAGAGAGUAAACAGUACGUGAAACCGCCUGUAGAGAAGCUGGUGGAGUCAAGCUGCAUGCCCUUGGAAUUAAGCCAGUGUUUGUUGUGGAAUUGUGGAGCUGGCUGGUCGGAGGUCUUGUCAAGAGGCCAAGGUAUCUGAUACCUUUCCCUAGCGUACUGGUUGGUGCGUGGGGGCUGACCGGUCGAAGUUCCGUACACUGGUGCACUUUCCUUGUGGCAGACAUCACGAUCGAAGUGGCCUCCGGCAUGUGCUAGUCAAACCAGCAGAGUGUGGGUCUCGUAUCCGCGCCUGUUGGGAAGGCAGGUGGCUCGUCUGUUGGGUUCGCUCAGCUUACGAGUUUUUUGUGGUUAUGGCCGGCCGACUAGCACCUCGUAACACAUUCAGCCGUGAGAGCUCUUCGUUGCUCAUGAACCAGUCCAUGUCGUUGCGGUAGUGUGUCUCUCUGGUAUGUGGCCGUGUCUGUUCAUUCAGUGCGGUCGUGUGCUAGUGGGGUGCGCUGCUUGCGAUUGCUUGGCUUGUAUGAAUCGUGGUGUUGUGG
RNAcentral lists this ribosomal RNA (880 nucleotides) under Furcohaptor brevis. RNAcentral's name for it is "eukaryotic LSU rRNA". It matches the Rfam family "Eukaryotic large subunit ribosomal RNA", at positions 70 to 634 of the family's 3401-position model. The record is from RNAcentral. Lineage: Eukaryota; Metazoa; Platyhelminthes; Monogenea; Dactylogyridea; Dactylogyridae.